This 459-nucleotide ribosomal RNA is filed under the name uncultured bacterium. RNAcentral describes it as "partial 16S ribosomal RNA". It matches the Rfam family "Bacterial small subunit ribosomal RNA", at positions 338 to 795 of the family's 1533-position model. The record is from RNAcentral.
CCUACGGGGUGCUGCAGUGAGGAAUAUUGGUCAAUGGUCGGGAGACUGAACCAGCCAAGCCGCGUGAGGGAGGAAGGUACAGAGUAUCGUAAACCUCUUUUGUCAGGGAACAAAGACUGGGACGCGUCCCCGGAUGAGUGUACCUGAAGAAAAAGCAUCGGCUAACUCCGUGCCAGCAGCCGCGGUAAUACGGGGGAUGCGAGCGUUAUCCGGUUUUAUUGGGUUUAAAGGGUGCGCAGGCGGUCUGUUAAGUCAGCGGUCAAAGCCCGGGGCGAAACCCCGGCCCGCCGUUGAACCUGGCAGUCUCGAGUUGGAGAGAAGUAUGCGGAAUGCGCGGUGUAGCGGUGAAAUGCAUAGAUAUCGCGCAGAACUCCGAGUGCGAAGGCAGCAUGCCGGCUCCACACUGACGCUGAGGCACGAAAGCGUGGGUAUCGAACAGGAUUAGAUACCCCUGUAGUC